AAAACUAAAUAUCAGCAGAAAACCAAUAGCGAACAAGUACCGUGAGGGAAAGGUGAAAAGAACUUUGAAAAGAGAGUUAAAAGUACGUGAAAUCGUUGAAAGGGAAAUGGUUGGGGCAGUAGCGGCGCCUUGCGGGUUUUCGAGCCCUUUUGUGCCACCUUCAUGAUUGGCGUGAGAGUCUUUUUUCUGGGGGGGAUCCCCCCCCCGAUGCGCGUAGGCUUUAAUUCUCUUGUGCGAGUCAGGUUUCAAUUUGCCUUGGCGGAGGGCCCCAGUAGUAAGUGAUUGCUGCUGGGGCGCUCUUCCAAAAGAAUGAUGCUGGUUUUACUUCCCAACCAACCCGUCUUGAAACACGGACCAAGGAGUCUAAUGCGCAUGCGAGUGUUUGAAUGUAAAA
RNAcentral lists this ribosomal RNA (394 nucleotides) under uncultured fungus. Its description in RNAcentral is "partial 28S ribosomal RNA". It matches the Rfam family "Eukaryotic large subunit ribosomal RNA", at positions 312 to 706 of the family's 3401-position model. Lineage: Eukaryota; Fungi. The record is from RNAcentral.